Molecule: ribosomal RNA, 234 nt
Filed under: uncultured bacterium
Lineage: Bacteria
Description: partial 16S ribosomal RNA
Rfam family: Bacterial small subunit ribosomal RNA
Source: RNAcentral
UGAGCAAUCUGCCCUUCUCAUCGGAAUAAGCGUUGGAAACGACGUCUAAUGCCGAAUACGACCUCCUUUCGCAUGAUCGGAGGUGGAAAGCUCCGGCGGAGAAGGAUGAGCUCGCGGCCUAUCAGCUAGUUGGUGUGGGUAAUGGCCCACCAAGGCGACGACGGGUAGCCGGCCUGAGAGGGCGACCGGCCACACUGGGACUGAGAUACGGCCCAGACCUCCGUACGGGAGCAG